AACGAUGAUCACUAGCUGUUUGCGAUACACUGUAAGCGGCACAGCGAAAGCGUUAAGUGAUCCACCUGGGGAGUACGCCGGCAACGGUGAAACUCAAAGGAAUUGACGGGGGCCCGCACAAGCGGAGGAACAUGUGGUUUAAUUCGAUGAUACGCGAGGAACCUUACCCGGGUUUGAACGCAUUCGGACCGAGGUGGAAACACCUUUUCUAGCAAUAGCCGUUUGCGAGGUGCUGCAUGGCUGUCGUCAG
This 250-nucleotide ribosomal RNA is filed under the name uncultured bacterium. Its description in RNAcentral is "partial 16S ribosomal RNA". It matches the Rfam family "Bacterial small subunit ribosomal RNA", at positions 805 to 1058 of the family's 1533-position model. The record is from RNAcentral.